Molecule: ribosomal RNA, 253 nt
Filed under: uncultured bacterium
Lineage: Bacteria
Description: partial 16S ribosomal RNA
Rfam family: Bacterial small subunit ribosomal RNA
Source: RNAcentral
UACAGGGGGGGCAAGCGUUGUUCGGAAUUACUGGGCGUAAAGGGCUCGUAGGUGGCCCACUAAGUCGGACGUGAAAUCCCUCAGCUUAACUGGGGAACUGCAUCCGAUACUGGAUGGCUUGAGUUUGGGAGAGGGAUGCGGAAUUCCAGGUGUAGCGGUGAAAUGCGUAGAUAUCUGGAGGAACACCGGUGGCGAAGGCGGCAUCCUGGACCAACACUGACACUGAGGAGCGAAAGCCAGGGGAGCAAACGGG